Long non-coding RNA from Pantherophis guttatus, 503 nucleotides. RefSeq lists it as uncharacterized. The record is from RefSeq and is a predicted model, not a curated record. NCBI's taxonomy places the organism in Eukaryota, Metazoa, Chordata, Lepidosauria, Squamata, Colubridae.
CCUAUGUGGUCAUGUGACAUCACACUUUAAAACUUCAUCACUUAGUAACACAAAUUCCAGUCCUUCUUACUAUUGUUAACUGAGGACUAUCUACCGUAUAUACCAUUCACUUCUAACAAUGAAUUUGGGCAGUCUCUUUAAAUGACAAGGGACUUCCUUGAGUUCAUUGCAGUCUGUUCCAGUGUAAAGGAAUGGGAUGCCUUCAGACAGAAAGGAUAGAAAUGAUGAAACUGGGAAUAAACUCCAUAGGAAAGGAAGCUGUUACUUCCAAAUAGCAGCCAAGCUGAGGCACAAGAAAACCACAUCAAAAUCCAGAUCUGGAUUUCAGAAUUGUUCAAGUAAGGAUCACCAAGGGAUCUCACAGUGCUAUGGAUGGAACUGGAAUCUGCAGUGGAAUGGGUAGAAGACUGAGGAAGAUUGCUCUGUCAGUCUCCCAGAGCCUAUUAUUGUCUUUUUCCUGUAUUAUCCCUGCUCCAGAGAUUAAAGUUGGAGUUUUUGAGUGA